This is a microRNA precursor of Oryza sativa Japonica Group (Japanese rice), 198 nucleotides long. It matches the Rfam family "MIR812 microRNA precursor family". The record is from Rfam. Lineage: Eukaryota; Viridiplantae; Streptophyta; Magnoliopsida; Poales; Poaceae.
UUUAAGUACAAUUAUGAGUUUUCAUGCUCAAUUUUAAUAUUUCGUCUUAUUUGAAAAAAAAUAUGAUAAUUAUUUUUUUAUGAGAUAAUAAAACAUGAAUAAUACUUUAUUCAUAACUUAUGUUUUUAAUUUUUUUAAAAAAAAUUAAAUAAGAAGAAUGAUUAAAGUUGAGUGUGGAAAAUUAUGGCUGCACUUCAA